RNAcentral lists this ribosomal RNA (497 nucleotides) under uncultured bacterium. RNAcentral's name for it is "partial 16S ribosomal RNA". It matches the Rfam family "Bacterial small subunit ribosomal RNA", at positions 28 to 507 of the family's 1533-position model. The record is from RNAcentral.
GAUGAACGCUGGCGGCGUGCCUAAUACAUGCAAGUCGAGCGAACAGACGAGGAGCUUGCUCCUCUGACGUUAGCGGCGGACGGGUGAGUAACACGUGGAUAACCUACCUAUAAGACUGGGAUAACUUCGGGAAACCGGAGCUAAUACCGGAUAAUAUAUUGAACCGCAUGGUUCAAUAGUGAAAGACGGUUUUGCUGUCACUUAUAGAUGGAUCCGCGCCGCAUUAGCUAGUUGGUAAGGUAACGGCUUACCAAGGCAACGAUGCGUAGCCGACCUGAGAGCGUGAUCGGCCAAACUGGAACUGAAACACGGCCCAGACUCCUACGGGAGGCAGCAGUAGAGAAUCUUCCGCGAUGGGCGAAAGCCUGACGGAGCAACGCCGCGUGAGUGAUGAAGGUCUUCGGAUCGUAAAACUCUGUUAUUAGGGAAGAACAAAUGUGUAAGUAACUAUGCACGUCUUGACGGUACCUAAUCAGAAAGCCACGGCUAACUACGUG